UACGUAGGGUGCAAGCGUUGUCCGGAAUUAUUGGGCGUAAAGAGCUCGUAGGCGGUCUGUCGCGUCUGCUGUGAAAAUCCAGGGCUCAACCCUGGACCUGCAGUGGGUACGGGCAGACUAGAGUGCGGUAGGGGAGAUCGGAAUUCCUGGUGUAGCGGUGAAAUGCGCAGAUAUCAGGAGGAACACCGGUGGCGAAGGCGGAUCUCUGGGCCUUACCUGACGCUCAGGUGCGAAAGCUAGGGGAGCGAACAGG
This 253-nucleotide ribosomal RNA is filed under the name uncultured bacterium. RNAcentral describes it as "partial 16S ribosomal RNA". It matches the Rfam family "Bacterial small subunit ribosomal RNA", at positions 524 to 776 of the family's 1533-position model. The record is from RNAcentral.